This 801-nucleotide ribosomal RNA is filed under the name Cornufer cf. vertebralis SLT-2018. Its description in RNAcentral is "partial 16S ribosomal RNA". It matches the Rfam family "Bacterial large subunit ribosomal RNA", at positions 1512 to 2565 of the family's 2925-position model. The record is from RNAcentral. Lineage: Eukaryota; Metazoa; Chordata; Amphibia; Anura; Ceratobatrachidae.
CCUAAUACCAAGUAACUAUAUAAACCCUUACCAACUAUUGGAUGAUUCCAUAACCUAUGGAAGCCACUAUGCUUGAACUAGUAACAAGAAUAUGACUUUCUCCUAAAUAUUAAUGUAAGCCGCAACAGACAAACUAACGGCAAUUAACGCUAAUAAACUAACUACAACAACCCCCAAGAAAAACUUGUAAAAUACAACGUUACCCUUACACAAGCAUAUUUCAGGAAAGAUUAAAAAAAAGAGAAGGAACUCGGCAAACCUUGACCCCGCCUGUUUACCAAAAACAUCGCCUCUUGCUAAAAUAUAAGAGGUCUAGCCUGCCCAGUGAAUAUUAAACGGCCGCGGUACCCUAACCGUGCUAAGGUAGCACAAUUACUUGUCCUUUAAAUGGGGACUAGAAUGAAAGGCAUCACGAGGGUCAUACUGUCUCCUCUUUUUAAUCAGUGAAACUGACCUCCCCGUGAAAAGGCGGGAAUCAAAAUAUUAGACGAGAAGACCCCAUGGAGCUUUAGACACUAAGUAAAUCUAAGCCUUCAUUCCACCCUAGCCCAAGAUUACUACCUUUAAGUCUUCGGUUGGGGCAACCAUGGAGUAAAAAUCAACCUCCAUACCGAAUGGAUUAUUCCUUAUUCAAGAACAACCUUUCUAAAAAACAGAAUACUGACGCCAACUGAUCCGAAAUCGAUCAAUGAACCAAGUUACCCUGGGGAUAACAGCGCUAUCUACCUCGAGAGCCCUUAUCGACAGGUAGGUUUACGACCUCGAUGUUGGAUCAGGGUAUCCUAGUGGUGCAGCCGCUAC